This 70-nucleotide transfer RNA is filed under the name Bavayia kunyie. RNAcentral describes it as "tRNA-Trp". It matches the Rfam family "tRNA". Rfam says of the family: Transfer RNA (tRNA) molecules are approximately 80 nucleotides in length. Their secondary structure includes four short double-helical elements and three loops (D, anti-codon, and T loops). Further hydrogen bonds mediate the characteristic L-shaped molecular structure. tRNAs have two regions of fundamental functional importance: the anti-codon, which is responsible for specific mRNA codon recognition, and the 3' end, to which the tRNAs corresponding amino acid is attached (by aminoacyl-tRNA synthetases). tRNAs cope with the degeneracy of the genetic code in two manners: having more than one tRNA (with a specific anti-codon) for a particular amino acid; and 'wobble' base-pairing, i.e. permitting non-standard base-pairing at the 3rd anti-codon position. The record is from RNAcentral. Lineage: Eukaryota; Metazoa; Chordata; Lepidosauria; Squamata; Diplodactylidae.
AGAAACUUAGGUUAGACAUAAACCAAGAGCCUUCAAAGCCCUAAACAGAGGAUAAAACCUCUAGUCUCUG